This 436-nucleotide ribosomal RNA is filed under the name uncultured bacterium. RNAcentral's name for it is "bacterial SSU rRNA". It matches the Rfam family "Bacterial small subunit ribosomal RNA", at positions 958 to 1392 of the family's 1533-position model. The record is from RNAcentral.
AACGCGAAGAACCUUACCAGCCCUUGACAUGUCCUCUAUGGAUUCCAGAGACGGAAUCCUUCACUUCGGGUGGGAGGAACACAGGUGCUGCAUGGCUGUCGUCAGCUCGUGUCGUGAGAUGUUGGGUUAAGUCCCGCAACGAGCGCAACCCUCGGCCUUAGUUGCCAUCAUUUAGUUGGGCACUCUAAGGUGACUGCCGGUGAUAAGCCGGAGGAAGGUGGGGAUGACGUCAAGUCCUCAUGGCCCUUACGGGCUGGGCUACACACGUGCUACAAUGGCGGUGACAGAGGGACGCAAAGGCGCGAGCCUUCGCAAAUCUCAAAAAGCCGUCUCAGUUCGGAUUGGGGUCUGCAACUCGACCCCAUGAAGUUGGAAUCGCUAGUAAUCGCAGAUCAGCACGCUGCGGUGAAUACGUUCNCCGGGUCUGUACACACCG